GCUGGGUGUGGUGGUGCACACCUGUAAUCCUAGUUACUUGGGAGGCUGAGGUGGGAGGAUUGCAUGAACCCAGGAGGCGGAGGUUGCAGUGAGCCAAGAUUGUGCCACUGCACACUCUACCCUGGGCAAACAGAGCAAGACUCCAUCUCAA
Molecule: non-coding RNA, 151 nt
Filed under: Gorilla gorilla gorilla (western lowland gorilla)
Lineage: Eukaryota; Metazoa; Chordata; Mammalia; Primates; Hominidae
Source: Rfam by way of RNAcentral